AUUGAACGCUGGCGGCAUGCCUUACACACGCAAGUCGAACGGCAGCGGGGGAGAAGCUUGCUUUUCCUGCCGGCGAGUGGCGAACGGGUGAGUAAUACAUCGGAACGUGCCCUGUAGUGGGGGAUAACUAGUCGAAAGAUUAGCUAAUACCGCAUACGACCUGAGGGUGAAAGUGGGGGACCGCAAGGCCUCAUGCUAUAGGAGCGGCCGAUGUCUGAUUAGCUAGUUGGUGGGGUAAAGGCCUACCAAGGCGACGAUCAGUAGCUGGUCUGAGAGGACGAUCAGCCACACCAGGACUGAGACACGGCCCAGACUCCUACGGGAGACAGCAGUGGGGAAUUUUGGACAAUGGGCGAAAGCCUGAUCCAACAAUGCCGCGUGUGUGAAGAAGGCCUUCGGGUUGUAAAGCACUUUUGUCCGGAAAGAAAUGGCUCUGGUUAAUACCUGGGGUCGAUGACGGUACCGGAAGAAUAAGGACCGGCUAACUACGUGCCAGCCGCCGCAGUAA
Molecule: ribosomal RNA, 508 nt
Filed under: uncultured bacterium
Lineage: Bacteria
Description: partial 16S ribosomal RNA
Rfam family: Bacterial small subunit ribosomal RNA
Source: RNAcentral